UACACUCCUGCGGGAGGCAGCAGUGGGGAAUAUUGGACAAUGGGCGCAAGCCUGAUCCAGCCAUGCCGCGUGAGUGAUGAAGGCCCUAGGGUUGUAAAGCUCUUUCACCGGUGAAGAUAAUGACGGUAACCGGAGAAGAAGCCCCGGCUAACUUCGUGCCAGCAGCCGCGGUAAUACGAAGGGGGCUAGCGUUGUUCGGAUUUACUGGGCGUAAAGCGCACGUAGGCGGACUAUUAAGUCAGGGGUGAAAUCCCGGGGCUCAACCCCGGAACUGCCUUUGAUACUGGUAGUCUUGAGUUCGAGAGAGGUGAGUGGAAUUCCGAGUGUAGAGGUGAAAUUCGUAGAUAUUCGGAGGAACACCAGUGGCGAAGGCGGCUCACUGGCUCGAUACUGACGCUGAGGUGCGAAAGCGUGGGGAGCAAACAGGAUUAGAUACCCCUGUAGUCCCAU
Molecule: ribosomal RNA, 450 nt
Filed under: uncultured organism
Description: partial 16S ribosomal RNA
Rfam family: Bacterial small subunit ribosomal RNA
Source: RNAcentral